GUCAUAUGAAGGGCGACGACGGUGAGAAAACGUACUUUUGAAUAUAAAUCUGAAUUUUUUCUAAAUGGGAGUCAUAAGACAUUCUAAUGGCAGCAGUUGACACGGUACAGUGGUGUAGUGGUUAGCACUCUCGCCUCCCAGAGAGAUGCCUCGGGUUCAACUCCACCCAGUGGUGCCUCUGUGUUAGGUGGUGUAGGCUAAGCCUGCAUGGGGUUCACUCCAUAUUUGUAAAAGUAAUGGAAAAAACUUUUUUUAAACUUCCAAGUCUAAAAAAAAUGCCAAAAUAUUUUGCAAAAAGUAAUGAAAUUCUAUCUUUAUUCAUAUGAAGGUGUACGAUGGUGAGAAAACCUACUUUUGAAUAAAAAUCCGAAUUUUUUCUAAAUUGGAUUCAUAAGACAUUCUACCGGCAGCAGUUGACACGGUACAGUGGUGUAGUGGUUAGCACUCUCGCCUCCCAGACAGAUGCCUCGGGUUCAACUCCACCCAGUGGAGCCUCUGUGUUAGGUGGUGUAGGCUAAGCCUGCAUGGGAUUCACUCCAUACUUGUAAAAGUAAUGGAAAAAAGUUUUUUUUAAACUUUAGCAUCUGAAAAGAAUCCCCAAAUAUUUUGCAAAAUGUCAUGAAAUUCUAUCUUUAGUCAUAUGAAGGGGGACAAUGGUGAGAAAACGUACUUUUGAAUAAAAAUCCGGAUAUUUUCUAAAUUGGAGUCAAUAGACAAUCUAAUUGCAGCAGUUGACACGGUACAGUGGUGUAGUGGUUAGCACUCUCGCCUCCCAGACAGGUGCCUCGGGUUCAACUCCACCCAGUGGCGCCACUGUGUUAGGUGGUGUAGGCUAAGCCUGCAUGGGGUUCACUCCAUAUUUGUAAAAUUAAUGGAAAAAACUUUUUUUAAACUUCCAAGUCUAAAAAAAAUGCCAAAAUACUUUGCAAAAAGUAAUGAAAUUCUAUCUUUAGUCAUAUGAAGGUGUACGAU
Molecule: long non-coding RNA, 972 nt
Organism: Gasterosteus aculeatus aculeatus (three-spined stickleback)
Lineage: Eukaryota; Metazoa; Chordata; Actinopteri; Perciformes; Gasterosteidae
Source: Ensembl